UACGAAGGGGGCUAGCGUUGUUCGGAAUUACUGGGCGUAAAGCGCGCGCAGGUGGUCCUUCAAGUCAGGGGUGAAAGCCCAGGGCUCACCCCUGGAAUGGCCUUUGAGACUAGAGGACUUGGGUACGGGAGAGGUGAGUGGAAUUCCGAGUGUAGAGGUGAAAUUCGUAGAUAUUGGGAAGAACACCGGUGGCGAAGGCGGCCAUCUGGCCCGUAUUUGACGCUGAGGCGCGAAAGCGUGGGGAGCAAACAGG
RNAcentral lists this ribosomal RNA (253 nucleotides) under uncultured bacterium. RNAcentral describes it as "partial 16S ribosomal RNA". It matches the Rfam family "Bacterial small subunit ribosomal RNA", at positions 524 to 776 of the family's 1533-position model. The record is from RNAcentral.